AGCGAACGCUGGCGGCAGGCCUAACACAUGCAAGUCGAACGGAUCCUUCGGGAUCAGUGGCGGACGGGUGAGUAACACGUGGGAACGUGCCCUUUGGUUCGGAACAACUCAGGGAAACUUGAGCUAAUACCGGAUGUGCCCUUCGUGGGAAAGAUUUAUCGCCAUUGGAGCGGCCCGCGUCUGAUUAGCUAGUUGGUGAGGUAAAGGCUCACCAAGGCGACGAUCAGUAGCUGGUCUGAGAGGAUGAUCAGCCACAUUGGGACGGAGACACGGCCCAAACUCCUACGGGAGGCAGCAGUGGGGAAUCUUGCGCAAUGGGCGAAAGCCUGACGCAGCCAUGCCGCGUGAAUGAUGAAGGUCUUAGGAUUGUAAAAUUCUUUCACCGGGGACGAUAAUGACGGUACCCGGAGAAGAAGCCCCGGCUAACUUCGUGCCAGCCGCCGCCGUAA
This 449-nucleotide ribosomal RNA is filed under the name uncultured bacterium. RNAcentral describes it as "partial 16S ribosomal RNA". It matches the Rfam family "Bacterial small subunit ribosomal RNA", at positions 29 to 523 of the family's 1533-position model. The record is from RNAcentral.